GCAUCUAUCUCAAUAGACUCGGAGAAGCUCCCUCCGCUUAGCGCCGCCGCCUUUUCAUUCCCGCUGAUCUAAAAGAAUUGGAUAGGUGAGAGCAGGCUGCCCAUUAGGCUUCAGCCUGGCCGUGCUCCUCCAGUGCUUGAUCUCUAACGGGGAUAGGAAUGAGAUGUAGAGGGAAUGAGGAAGUGGAGAAGCUAAUUGUGGAUGACCUGCAGGCAAUCACAUCUAUUCAUAAAAUCUCUAAUGGAACAUUUUUGGCGAAGUUUCCUACGAGAUGAGAUUCGAUUCACAUGCUCGAUAUGAAAAAUACAGGCUUAAAUAAAAAAAAAAAAAAAACACAACCGCUUCAAGUAGUUCUAGUUUAGCACUUGUUACAGUUUUAGUUCCCACAUUUCUUAUGUGUGGUGGCUUUGAAAAAUAGUAACGAUGUGUGGAAGCAAAUGAAAACGGCGAAGAGAGUUUAAAAAAAGAGCAGAGGAGGGAGAGCGAGGAGGAGUAUAGCCUACUACUGUACGGAGUGAGUGAGUGAGUUAAGAGGGAGAGAUAGGGAGAGCGAGACGGAGAGAGAGGGAGCGAGCGAGCGAGAGAGAGAGAGAGAGAGGGUGCAGAUAGCGGGAGGGGAAAACCUCCUCUCUGAAAGGGAUGAUGUCAGUCUCUGCAGCUGAGCCCUGGUCCCCGACGCGAUAGGGUGAAGGCUCUGUCCUCAAGAAACAGGCUGGCAGGCACAUCCAGCAAGAGGGAGGCAGAGGUGAGAGACAUAGAGAGGAGACGCAGGCAGGAGUCUGGUCAAUGAAAUCCUGCAGGUACGUAUCACACGUUAUCAUCCGUCUCUGACUUCAUUCAUUAGUGCCUUUUGUUAGCGCCUGCCAUCCCCGUUUAAAACGCUGCCAGCGGCUCGUUUGUUCAAAGUCAUUAUCAGGUUUUUAGUAUGUGUCACGGCGGAACCUCGGGAGUGUUUCCGUGUUUGUGUGUGUGUGUGUGUGUGUGUGUGUGUGUGUGUGUACACAUCCCAGGUUGUCUGCGUAAAUUUGCGUGGGUGUGUAUAUUUUAGUGGGGGUGUGGAAGGAGCGUGCUCACAGUAGAUGCAUGCGAGUGUGCGCGCGCACACACACACACACACACACACACACACACACACACACACACACACACACACACACACACACACACACACACACACAGAGUGGAAAGUUUUUAAUGAAGAGGGGAAACUGCUGUAUCCAGCCCUCUGGGGAGGAAAACAGCUUCAAUUAUUCAAAUCCAAAUCAGAUGUGGGGUCUCCAGAGCGCAGGGCAUGACAGAGAUUUGAGAUUAGCGUGUAGGGAUUUGGGGCCAAGAUAACCUAUUGACAUGCAUGGGGGUGGGGGGGGGGGGCUCCUUUGUCUGUUGCGUCAUUGUUGUAGAGCUCUUCCUCUGUCUGCAUGCGAGAUUUGACAGGUUUAAAGCGGUGCCUUGUGGGAUGCUGGUGGUCAGACAGGUGACAUCGCUGUGGUGAGUCAUCCUGUAACUGCUGCCACUUACACCUCUGUUUCCCGCUUCGGAUCUCAGGUUUGCCUAUGCACAAGAACUGGUGUCGCUGUCAAACGUCCCCCCAUGGCACAACUUCAUACGCGUGUGUGUGUGUGUGUGUAUUAUGUGGGGAGGAUAGAUUUUCUAUUGUGUUAUUAGCUGAAUGCUACAGGCUGACAGAUAAGAGCACGUGCAGGGUGACUUUCAGCAGGCAACACCUAAAGAUGGCACUCACAGUGUGUGUGUGUGUGUGUGUGUGUGUGUGUGUGUGUGUGUGUGUCUCCUCACCUUUGUCUGUCUGAUGGACCCACAGGCUAUCAGACAAAAUAAAGUGCAGGUCACGGGCGCAUUCCACCAGCAGCCAUCCAUUUACACACUCAGGCUGUUGGCGUGCCACUCAAUUAGUCACAGCGUGGAUUACGCUCCACGAGGGGCUCGGGGAGAGAAUCACACCGGCAAUCUAAUUUUGUGCCACAUCAAAUGUCAGCGUAGAUCCCUCAGAUUCCCUGCGAUAAGCACGGAGACGGCGGCAGCAGAGGCGGAGGGAGGCGCACAGGUGGAGGAGGGGGGGACGACGAAGUUCUAGAGGAGAGAUAAUAAGGGCUGUAUAGGAGCAAAGGGAGCCUCAAAGGGAGGAGAGCAGCGUGGCCAGCAGACGAAAGGUCAGUUUUCACUGUGCUCGGUCCAUGCGCAGUAUGGGGAAAAAAAAAAAAUUCAGUCACGUAUAUGCGCGACUGCGGCGCGUCUGGUUUUCAAAAUGCCACGCUAGAAUGCAUUCGGGUAGAAGCUGUUGGGAGCUCCUUGCGUGUAAUUAGCAGCGGGGGGGGGCGCGCGUCACAGAAACUUUCUCUUAAAAUCACCUGUGCGCGUGCGCGCCCGCGGCUCCGCGGCCGCCGACCGACAGGCUCUGCCUUUGUUUGCACAGCCUCCGCGCGGCGCCGCCACAUUUAUUCCUGUAAACCUGCCACAUCAAACGGCUCCCUGCACCUAUUGUGUGCAGCCCGUUCCCUCGCCGACGGCGGCGGCUAAUGGCUGAGCGGAUAAAGCCUCCGUCGGCAGGCAGGGACCUCGACUUCCUGCCGAGAAGCCGUUAAUUAGCAAAUCCAAAGAGCGCUCGAUUUUAAUUUUUCCUCCUCCGUAUUGCCUCUUCCUCGCUGUGAUUUCACUUUAUCUGUCCGUUUGCUUAGUAAUUCAUUUUGAUGUUACUACUGACCCAGUUCCUUUGACUCCUAUUUCAGGUGCCAGUCUACUGGGAGUCUAGUCUCCCUGCAUAGGUUUCCUCCUGCCAGCGUUCCCAUUUGAGGAUUUUAAAGGGGCUGCAGACUGUGUUUUCACGGUUGUCAGGCAAAAUUGGUUUGAUGUCUUGAUUUCAAAGACUCCUUUGUUCACACCAGUGAAACAUGUUUAUGUUGAAUUAUUCAUACACUUCCACUCUGCUGAACACAAAUAAUUUCUGAUAUUAUCCCAGUGGAUAUUCAUCACCAUCUCACCUCUGUGUGUGUGUGUACAGAGAGGGAAGCUCAGGCACUCCCUCCCUCCCUCCAUCUAUCUAUUUAUCUCUCCUCGAUGGCUGCAGCCUCGCGUUCCCCACAGGGGCGACCCGAGUGGCCGCUCAGCCCGUGUGCCAUUACUGCUGACCAGUAGCCUAUUACUAUCUGCCCCUGAUCUGCUGACCUCCCUGAGAGGCGAGCAACAGAAUGCUCCGCGGCGAAAAGGGGGGAGGGAGCAACGUGUGCAGGAGACAGGAAGAGGGAGGCAACGGGGGAGAGCAGGUGGAAAGCUGCCGGCCGCGGGACCCGGAGGACGCACACAGGUGCACGGAGACCGGAGCGCGCCACGUGGAUCAGGUAAAAAAAAAAAAAAAAAAAAAAAACUCGAGUGGAGGUUUAGAGACGAAGCGGUUCAGCGCCGGAGCCACGCGGAAAUGCGUGGUAGAAAACAAGGUCAAGGCGCGGAGCGGCAUCCGUAGGAGCUCGUGCCGCUGUUGUGUUGGGUCUGACGCGUUAAUUACGGUCGCGCGUGUCACGUGUCACCACAGUUAUCUAUCGCGCAGCCUCGGGGCUCAGCGCUCAUCGCUUAAUCCCUCGCUGGCCAGGAUUCCUGCAGCGUAAUGAACUUAAUCUCAUCUCGGAGAAUGAGCCAUGCAUCAUCUGUCUAAUUAAAUAUUUGACUAAAUUAAUGAUUUUUUGAAUGCACAAUUUUCAAAUCCUCACAAAGCGGAGACUCGGGGAGGGCAAGUAUUUCACAUUUGUGGCACUAAGACGCUCAGUUGCACAUAUUGUAGGUUGAUCCCUUUUAAUUCCGUGUUGACGCUGCCGCUAAUCACAGCGGGAGCACGCAGCCUCAGCGUCACAUCAUCAUCCAUCGCCGCACUCUGACCUCAUCGUCCGCGUGACGCCGCGCGGAUCUGCAAAACGUGAAGCGACGGCGCUCCACGCAGCCGCGGCACGUUUGAUCACGGGACGAGCCGCUUUGAUAUCCCCCUGUUGACUCUCAACAAUACAUCAGUGGCGUCUUUGAAGCGGCACGUCAGCGGAGAGCAACAUGAAAGGCCAAUAGCGAGGUGUUCCCCUGCCAUUAGCAUUUCAUACAGCGCCAGUCAAAGUUUAGUUCUCAUAAUUAGGCCCCUGCAGGAUUUAAUGUGAUCUGUCCGGCUGCUGAUACUGAAGAUGUCAGGCAUGACUGUAGAAAUGCACAACAGCGUAAUUCUGAUGAAUUAGAGGACGACCUGUCCUCAGACCUGUAUUAAGCCAAAGCAAGUGUGAGGUAACACACACACACAUCACAUAAUACACAAAAUAUCUAGAGAUUUAUGAUGGAUUCAUAACAGGAGCAGCCACUAACUUAUGAUAAUGAUAAUUGUGAAUCACAUUUGUAUCACAAUUUGCCAUUUUGGUACCAUCAGUACUUAAUUCAGGUAAUUAAAACACUGUUCUGUCAAAAUACAGUUCAGUAAAAGUAGUGUUAAUUCAUGAGGCACUCUGUAAGAACCGAUGAUCACAUCUGGAUUCUGUGCACUAAUGAUAACUAAUGGGGAUGACAGCUCGUCAUCAGGAAAGCGGCCUAACUGUUAUCGUCCUGUCGCACAUCAGCGCGCGGGCCCUCGCGAAUUCCCGGCCGUCUCCCGCGGAAGAAACGCUGACGCAGACAGUGGAAGCGAACGGCGCAGGUCAGUAAUUCACCGACGGGCGCCGCGCGUCGCUUUAUUUUCAGCUGUCAUCAGUGAGGCCAAAAAAUACGGCGCCGGCGCUCGCUGCCAAACCAGUAUUCCCACUAAAUUAAUUAGAGAAAGUUAUUCUGCGACAACACUGCGGUCUUGUUUUCGCCACACUUCCUCUGAAAGUCUGCCACGGUCUCUCAAGAUGGUGUUAGAAUAAACACAGGGACUAAUGGUUGUUUACUGUGUUUACUGACAGCAGCAGCAUGUUCAUAACAACCCUUGUCAUUAAAAAUAGGCCUCGUGACCAUAACCUCGAGACGCAUUAUGGAGAUGGAGAGUUUUUACUGCAGGCCGCUGGACAUGUUGCAUGUAUGUAGAGAUGUGCUCUAUUAAAAGCAGCCACGAUUCUGCAUUCGGUGUACUGUGUGAACUCCAGUCUGCUUUCUGUCCUCCCUCCUCUGUUGCUGCUUCCUCUCAGGUCUCCCGGCGGUUCAGGGCCGAUGUCGGAGCCCUCCUCCCCCGCCUCCCGUUCACCUCCGUGUACUAUGGCUUUUUAUUCCUAUGUGAUGAUGAACAGCGUUCGUGUAGGAAUUAAAGCCACUAUACACGCGGUGAGAGAGCAGCGCCGGCGUGAGCGGACCCCCCCCCCCCCUCCUCCUCCUCCUCCCUCUCCUCCUCUCCGCCCGAUGCUCGACAGAGACUAACAUAUGGUUGGAUAAAUGCAACUGUCUUUGGAGUGUCUCCCUGUAGUAAAGCUACGUUUGUGCUCGUCUUUCAAAUGACGAGUGCGCCCGUUGAAGUGCCGAUCUGAAGACGGAGAAGCGAAGUCGGCCCUUGUUGUGUGUGUGUGUGUGUGUGUGUGUGCGUGCACCUUUUUUUUUUUUUUUAUUUUAUUUUUCGCCUCCAGGCACAAGCGGCUUCCACUGUUCCCAGUGUUUGAUGCAUGCAGUGACAGCUGCAGUCCGCGGGGAUGGAAGCUGGAACAUUUACAAAAUACGUCGCGAACAAAGGAAGAAGGGAGCAAGUAGAGACCAAUACAGAUCUUUAAUAAUCAACUAUAAAAGAGGCACUUAGUGAACCACUUUACACCUUGCGAGAGGCGCCGCACCUUGCUUUCUUCUCACGCUGAUUCUUUUCUGCACAUUAUUAAAAUAAAACUUUGACAUGACGCAUUACACAAAACAAUAACCUACCUACAAUAUCAUACAAUGAAAGAUACAUACAGUAUAAACAAGAUAAAGCACCUUUGUUGUCUUAGUAAAUACUAUCCAUAAUUAAACAGCUGGAGUUACAGA
Long non-coding RNA from Betta splendens (Siamese fighting fish), 5961 nucleotides. RefSeq lists it as uncharacterized. The transcript has 2 exons. The record is from RefSeq and is a predicted model, not a curated record. Lineage: Eukaryota; Metazoa; Chordata; Actinopteri; Anabantiformes; Osphronemidae.